This 467-nucleotide ribosomal RNA is filed under the name uncultured Alphaproteobacteria bacterium. RNAcentral's name for it is "bacterial SSU rRNA". It matches the Rfam family "Bacterial small subunit ribosomal RNA", at positions 9 to 521 of the family's 1533-position model. The record is from RNAcentral. Lineage: Bacteria; Pseudomonadati; Pseudomonadota; Alphaproteobacteria.
GAGUUUGAUCCUGGCUCAGAGCGAACGCUGGCGGCAGGCCUAACACAUGCAAGUCGAACGAACUCUUCGGAGUUAGUGGCGGACGGGUGAGUAACACGUGGGAACGUGCCUUUAGGUUCGGAAUAACUCAGGGAAACUUGUGCUAAUACCGAAUGUGCCCUUCGGGGGAAGGAUUUAUCGCCUUUAGAGCGGCCCGCGUCUGAUUAGCUAGUUGGUGAGGUAAUGGCUCACCAAGGCUACGAUCAGUAGCUGGUCUGAGAGGAUGACCAGCCACAUUGGGACUGAGACACGGCCCAAACUCCUACGGGAGGCAGCAGUGGGGAAUCUUGCGCAAUGGGCGAAAGCCUGACGCAGCCAUGCCGCGUGAAUGAUGAAGGUCUUAGGAUUGUAAAAUUCUUUUCACCGGGGACGAUAAUGACGGUACCCGGAGAAGAAGCCCCGGCUAACUUCGUGCCAGCAGCCGCGGU